GCGGCGAACGGGUGAGUAACACGUGGGUGAUCUGCCUCGUACUCUGGGAUAAGCCUGGGAAACUGGGUCUAAUACCGGAUAUGACCACGAAUCGCAUGGUUUGUGGUGGAAAGAUUUAUCGGUGCGAGAUGGGCCCGCGGCCUAUCAGCUUGUUGGUGGGGUAAUGGCCUACCAAGGCGACGACGGGUAGCCGGCCUGAGAGGGCGACCGGCCACACUGGGACUGAGACACGGCCCAGACUCCUACGGGAGGCAGCAGUGGGGAAUAUUGCACAAUGGGCGGAAGCCUGAUGCAGCGACGCCGCGUGCGGGAUGACGGCCUUCGGGUUGUAAACCGCUUUCGACAGGGACGAAGCGUGAGUGACGGUACCUGUAGAAGAAGCACCGGCCAACUACGUGCCAGCAGCCGCGGUAAUACGUAGGGUGCGAGCGUUGUCCGGAAUUACUGGGCGUAAAGAGCUUGUAGGCGGUUUGUCGCGUCGUUCGUGAAAACUUGGGGCUCAACCCCAAGCUUGCGGGCGAUACGGGCAGACUAGAGUACUGCAGGGGAGACUGGAAUUCCUGGUGUAGCGGUGAAAUGCGCAGAUAUCAGGAGGAACACCGGUGGCGAAGGCGGGUCUCUGGGCAGUAACUGACGCUGAGAAGCGAAAGCGUGGGUAGCGAACAGGAUUAGAUACCCUGGUAGUCCACGCCGUAAACGGUGGGUACUAGGUGUGGGUUUCCUUCCACGGGAUCCGUGCCGUAGCUAACGCAUUAAGUACCCCG
Molecule: ribosomal RNA, 764 nt
Filed under: Nocardia transvalensis
Lineage: Bacteria; Bacillati; Actinomycetota; Actinomycetes; Mycobacteriales; Nocardiaceae
Description: bacterial SSU rRNA
Rfam family: Bacterial small subunit ribosomal RNA
Source: RNAcentral